RNAcentral lists this transfer RNA (85 nucleotides) under Felis catus (domestic cat). It matches the Rfam family "tRNA". Rfam says of the family: Transfer RNA (tRNA) molecules are approximately 80 nucleotides in length. Their secondary structure includes four short double-helical elements and three loops (D, anti-codon, and T loops). Lineage: Eukaryota; Metazoa; Chordata; Mammalia; Carnivora; Felidae. The record is from Rfam by way of RNAcentral.
GCCUGGGUGGCUCAAUCGGUUAAGUGUCUGACUUUAGCUCAGGUCACGAUCUCACAGUUGGUGGGUUCAAGCCCCGCAUCGGGCU